This 797-nucleotide ribosomal RNA is filed under the name uncultured Pseudomonadota bacterium. RNAcentral describes it as "bacterial SSU rRNA". It matches the Rfam family "Bacterial small subunit ribosomal RNA", at positions 74 to 902 of the family's 1533-position model. The record is from RNAcentral. Lineage: Bacteria; Pseudomonadati; Pseudomonadota.
GUGGAGCAAUCCAUGAGUAAAGUGGCGCACGGGUGAGUAACACGUGACUAACCUACCCAGGAGUGGGGGAUAACUGAGGGAAACCUUAGCUAAUACCGCAUAACACCUACGGGUCAAAGGAGCAAUUCGCUUCUGGAGGGGGUCGCGGCCGAUUAGUUAGUUGGCAGGGUAAUGGCCUACCAAGACGAUGAUCGGUAUCCGGCCUGAGAGGGCGCACGGACACACUGGAACUGAAACACGGUCCAGACUCCUACGGGAGGCAGCAGUGGGGAAUUUUGCGCAAUGGGGGAAACCCUGACGCAGCAACGCCGCGUGGAGGAUGAAGUCCUUCGGGACGUAAACUCCUUUCGAUCGGGACGAUUAUGACGGUACCGGAAGAAGAAGCCCCGGCUAACUUCGUGCCAGCAGCCGCGGUAAUACGAGGGGGGCGAGCGUUGUUCGGAAUUAUUGGGCGUAAAGGGUGCGUAGGCGGUUUGGUAAGUCUUAUGUGAAAUCUACAGGCUCAACUUGUAGUCUGCAUGAGAAACUGCCGGGCUUGAGUAUGGGAGAGGUGAGUGGAAUUCCUGGUGUAGCGGUGAAAUGCGUAGAUAUCAGGAGGAACACCUGUGGCGAAAGCGGCUCACUGGACCAUAACUGACGCUGAUGCACGAAAGCUAGGGGAGCAAACAGGAUUAGAUACCCUGGUAGUCCUAGCCCUAAACGAUGACUGCUUGGUGUGACGGGUACCCAAUCCCGCCGUGCCGUAGCUAACGCGUUAAGCAGUCCGCCUGGGGAGUACGGUCGCAAGGCUGAAACUC